UCGAUCCUGAGCCACAGAAGGGCGCAACUGACCAGGAACGCGAUCUCUAACUGGCCGGGUGAAGCCCUUUUGCCUAUUAGAACUCCGCAGAGGGAUGCUUCAACCCCAAAACGACCUUAAACACCCCCGAGGAGUGCUUGCUUCCACAAACUUUACGCCCUUCUUCCACUCACUGCCGAGCCAUUUAUGUCGGGUAAUAUAUGCCCACGUAUAUUCCAUGUACCUACAAACACCCACGCAACCUCCACCUUCCUCCCACACUUCGGAGUGCUCGCCUCUAGAACUGCACCAGACAACAUCUACACUCGCUUCCAUGAUUCUACCCCUACGGCCUCGCAGGGGUUCGGGGCGGCGAAGAGGGGAAAUGGAAGAAAAAGGGGGGAUGGAAAUGCCGUGGGAGUCGACGUACGAUUAUAGAAAAUACAUAAUUUAUGAAAUAUUGUGUAAAAUUUAAUUUUAUCUCGUUUCUUAUUUUCUUUGUUCCAUUUUGUUGACUUUUUUUUUAUGUUUUAGGUUAGGUUGGCUGUAGAAGGGACAGGGAGGCGUGUGCGCUCGGUGUAUAGCCUUGGCGAUGUUCUUGGUUAGGCAGUCUCGAGCGGGACCAGUACUUGGAUGGGUGACCGCUCAGGGAAGCAGCUUGUACCGGGAGGUAGUUGUGCUUCUGAUGGGCUGAGGUUCUUGGGAUUUCAGGUGAAAUUCGGGAGGCUUUUUUAGCUUUGCAACUUGGAACGAAGCCAGUACUUGGAUGGGUGACCGCUUGGCGGGGUAGAUCUGAUCGAGGAGUAAGGGGCUCUGAAUUCUUCGGAGAAACGAAAACUCGGUGUAGGCGGAAGCGACUUUAGCGGUCGGGUUUUUUGCAGUUUCCCUGGGCCCUCGUGUGUGGUCUUGAGGAAUUCUCUCGAAUCAAAGUACAUCUUUGUUUUCUGGAGAAUUCUUGGGGUUGGGGCUGAAAAAUAUUUAUUUCUAGGCGUUUAUCUUCAGCCUAUCAGGAUUACGGAAUCACCUCGAUUUCCGCAAUCCCUCAAUUUCCAAAAAAUGUUUUUUACAUUUUUUCAAAAGUUUAGUUUAUUUGUAGAGAACUGAAAUUUCAAUAAUGGGGGAAUAUCAGCGUGAAAGAGAAGAGCUUGGGCCCAAAAAUAUUUUGUUUGGUCCAGAACUAAUCGAUGCUUGCUGCGGCACUUGUGCUGUUGACCGUCGUGGAGUCUUUUUUCGAGACGCCAUUUUGGGAGCGCUCCUCUGCUUAAUGAAAUGCACUAAAUAUAAAUAAAUAAAUGUCCUCGUAUACUUCAUAACUUCAAUAAUGAAUACACAAAAUUUCGAAUCA
Long non-coding RNA from Venturia canescens, 1324 nucleotides. RefSeq lists it as uncharacterized. The transcript is spliced from 2 exons. The record is from RefSeq and is a predicted model, not a curated record. NCBI's taxonomy places the organism in Eukaryota, Metazoa, Arthropoda, Insecta, Hymenoptera, Ichneumonidae.